GGGGAAUUGUUCGCAAUGGGCGCAAGCCUGACGACGCAACGCCGCGUGGAGGAUGAAGACCUUCGGGUCGUAAACUCCUUUCGAUCGAGACGAACCGCUUCCGGGUGAACAAUCCGGAGGUUUGACGGUACCGAGAGAAGAAGCCCCGGCUAACUCCGUGCCAGCAGCCGCGGUAAUACGGAGGGUGCGAGCGUUGUCCGGAAUCACUGGGCGUAAAGGGCGCGUAGGUGGCGUGAUAAGGGUGUGGUGAAAGCCCGGGGCUCAACCCCGGGUCGGCCAUGCCGACUGUCAGGCUGGAGUGCUGUAGGGGCAGGCGGAAUUCCGGGUGUAGCGGUGGAAUGCGUAGAGAUCCGGAGGAAGACCGGUGGCGAAGGCGGCCUGCUGGGCAGUUACUGACACUGAUGCGCGACAGCGUGGGGAGCAAAC
This 426-nucleotide ribosomal RNA is filed under the name uncultured bacterium. Its description in RNAcentral is "bacterial SSU rRNA". It matches the Rfam family "Bacterial small subunit ribosomal RNA", at positions 356 to 773 of the family's 1533-position model. The record is from RNAcentral.